UGCAAGUCGAACGGCAGCGGGGGCUUCGGCCUGCCGGCGAGUGGCGAACGGGUGAGUAAUGCAUCGGAACGUGCCCAAGUCGUGGGGGAUAACCUCGGGAAACCGGGACUAAUACCGCAUGCGCCCUUCGGGGGAAAGCAGGGGAUCUUCGGACCUUGCGCGAUUGGAUGAGCCCAUGUUCGAUUAGCUAGUUGGCGGGGUAAAGGCCCACCAAGGCGACGAUCGAUAGCUGGUCUGAGAGGAUGAUCAGCCACACUGGGACUGAGACACGGCCCAGACUCCUACGGGAGGCAGCAGUAGGGAAUAUUGGACAAUGGGCGCAAGCCUGAUCCAGCCAUGCCGCGUGAGUGAAGAAGGCCUUCGGGUUGUAAAGCUCUUUUGUCCGGAAAGAAAAGCGCGGGGUUAAUACCCCCGUGUCCUGACGGUACCGGAAGAAUAAGCACCGGCUAACUUCGUGCCAGCAGCCGCGGUAAUACGAAGGGUGCAAGCGUUACUCGGAAUUACUGGGCGUAAAGCGUGCGUAGGUGGUUGUUUAAGUCUGAUGUGAAAGCCCUGGGCUCAACCUGGGAAUGGCAUUGGAUACUGGGCAGCUAGAGUGCGGUAGAGGGUAGUGGAAUUCCCGGUGUAGCAGUGAAAUGCGUAGAGAUCGGGAGGAACAUCUGUGGCGAAGGCGACUGCCUGGACCAGCACUGACACUGAGGCACGAAAGCGUGGGGAGCAAACAGGAUUA
Molecule: ribosomal RNA, 730 nt
Filed under: uncultured bacterium
Lineage: Bacteria
Description: bacterial SSU rRNA
Rfam family: Bacterial small subunit ribosomal RNA
Source: RNAcentral